AGCCGUCUUGAACCUGUUUAUAAUGCAAGCAACGUCCGUCGGCGCCAAAACAGAAGACAGACGCGAACGACGGUAGUGGUUCCACCGGCUUGUCGAAGAGCUGUGAGGAGAAUAUAUAAACUCCUUUUGAAAAAGGAUGACUUUAGUGGUUUUUAUCUUGACGAAGAAAUAAAUUCUGACAAGAAUAACAUCAUUUUUGAGCGGACAACAGAGCAGGUGAUACAUCAACAGGGAGGAGCUGAAAAGUGUCCUUGGACAAAGGAUGUCAUAGAAGGUAGCUACCAAUAAUUAUAGCACAUGCAUUUCACUUUUGCUUGGGUGUCAUUACAUUUUGUGGGUGAGCAUAAGGAUUUUGCACUCAAGCAUAUUGAUGCAUAUCUCCUUUAUAACAAGUUGAGUUUUAGUGAAGGCCUUGGCUUGAAACAUCCACACAAAAUUGUGCUUACAGUUGGUCAAUUUGUCCAUUGCCCAGCCCUUAAUGAUACCCCUGCUUUUAGUCUCUACCAUCAAUUCGUGUCUUUUACCACAUUCCCCUCAACAAAAAUGUUGCCAUAGAACUCACAUUCAUUAACAUGGUUAGAUACCAUGAAACCCCUAAUGAGCACCUUCAUUACAUGGUUAAAUUUAGGACAAGAGGAGGGGUGCAUUUUUAUUUUUUCCUAACUUACAUACUAACUUUCCCAAUUUUUUGUUAGACAAGUAUCAUUUCAAAUCACAUUUCUUAGUAGCUGGAUUUGAGAUUACAAUUUGUGAAUCAAUAGCUUUUUGUGUGUUAUUACAGCUAGUUAUAUUGUGUACUUGUCAUACUUUUAUACUGGUAAAUAUUCUAUUACCUACAUGACUGAGAUUAUAUUAUACACUAAUGAAAGAGAAACAAUUUUAAUAAAGUAUGACAAUUAGUAAUUCAAA
Long non-coding RNA from Stylophora pistillata, 909 nucleotides. NCBI's taxonomy places the organism in Eukaryota, Metazoa, Cnidaria, Anthozoa, Scleractinia, Pocilloporidae. The record is from RefSeq and is a predicted model, not a curated record.